GGGUGAUUAGCGCAGCUGGGAGAGCACCACCCUUACAAGGAGGGGGUCGGCGGUUCGAUCCCGUCAUCACCCACCA
Molecule: transfer RNA, 76 nt
Filed under: Salmonella enterica subsp. enterica serovar Weltevreden
Lineage: Bacteria; Pseudomonadati; Pseudomonadota; Gammaproteobacteria; Enterobacterales; Enterobacteriaceae
Description: tRNA-Val
Rfam family: tRNA
About the family: Transfer RNA (tRNA) molecules are approximately 80 nucleotides in length.
Source: RNAcentral